This 397-nucleotide ribosomal RNA is filed under the name uncultured bacterium. RNAcentral describes it as "partial 16S ribosomal RNA". It matches the Rfam family "Bacterial small subunit ribosomal RNA", at positions 523 to 918 of the family's 1533-position model. The record is from RNAcentral.
AUACGUAGGGGGCGAGCGUUGUCCGGAAUGAUUGGGCGUAAAGGGCGCGUAGGCGGCCCGGUAAGUCUGGAGUGAAAGUCCUGUUUUUAAGAUGGGAAUUGCUUUGGAUACUGUCGGGCUUGAGUGCAGGAGAGGUAAGUGGAAUUCCCAGUGUAGCGGUGAAAUGCGUAGAGAUUGGGAGGAACACCAGUGGCGAAAGCGACUUACUGGACUGUAACUGACGCUGAGGCGCGAAAGUGUGGGGAGCAAUCAGGAUUAGAUGCCCUGGUAGUCCACGCCGUAAACGAUGAGUGCUAAGUGUUGGAGGGUUUCCGCCCUUCAGUGCUGCAGCUAACGCAUUAAGCACUCCGCCUGGGGAGUACGACCGCAAGGUUGAAACUCAAAUGAAUUGACGGGG